GGACAGAUAACUAAAAGAAGAGUAGACAGAGAGAGAGAGAGAGAGAGAGAGAGAGAGAGAGAGAGAGAAGAAGAAAAGAGAGAGGAGAAUGGGACAGAGAACUAAAAGAAGAGUAGACAGAGAGAAAGCACAAUGGACUUUGUAGCCAGCCUGUUGAAGCAUGAGAUGAGGCAGUGUGUUAUUUGGUGAGGCAGUGUGUUACUUGGUGAGGCAGUGUGUUAUUUGAUGAGACAGUGUGUUACUUGGUGAGGCAGUGUGUUACUUGGUGAGGCAGUGUGUUACUUGGUGAGACAGUGUGUUACUUGGUGAGGCAGUGUGUUACUUGGUGAGGCAGUGUGUUACUUGGUGAGACAGUGUGUUACUUGGUGAGGCAGUGUGUUACUUGGUGAGACAGUGUGUUACUUGGUGAGACAGUGUGUUAUUUGAUGAGGCAGUGUGUUACUUGGUGAGGCAGUGUGUUACUUGGUGAGGCAGUGUGUUACAGUUUUUUAAUUUCAGAAAACUCACAACCAAUGAUCAAACUGCAACAUUUUCUAAACUCUUAACACUUUUUCCAGUUGCUUGGAUACAAUACACAUAAAGAUAAGAUCAUUUGUUCAUUGAACUAAAAUCACCUGUUCAAAAUGACACAACUUUAACAUCAAAAUAUUACCAUUUCAAAAUGCAAUUCACACAUUACAUCUGAAAUGACUGUCUAUUCAUUUCAUUACAAUGAUCUAACUAUCAAUUGAUACAACUGCUCAAAAUGAUAAUUAACUGUUGCAGUACUCUUCAUGCAUAGUUUUAUGGAAAUUAACAAACAAUAUUCCAUGUUUAGAUCAUGAAAGUUUCAGGAUAACGAGAUCCAUUGACACCAAUUACCGUGGAACAUGAACCAAUUGGACUACAUUAUCUAUGGAUGUAAUAUUUCAUCAUCAUUCUUUAUCAGACACUGUUUCUAUGGUCCCAUGUACCACUUUUCCAGACCAUGUUUUCAGAUUUGACAUUACUGCACACUCACUGGCCACUUUAUUAGGUACACCUAUCUAGUAAUGGGUAGGACCCCCUUUUGCCUCCACAACAG
This 1063-nucleotide long non-coding RNA is filed under the name Salmo salar (Atlantic salmon). RNAcentral's name for it is "lncRNA (ENSSSAG00000113081.1)". The record is from RNAcentral. Lineage: Eukaryota; Metazoa; Chordata; Actinopteri; Salmoniformes; Salmonidae.